UACGUAGGGUGCGAGCGUUAAUCGGAAUUACUGGGCGUAAAGCGUGCGCAGGCGGCGCGUUAAGACAGGUGUGAAAGCCCCGAGCUUAACUUGGGAAUUGCGCUUGUGACUGGCGUGCUGGAGUGUGGCAGAGGGAGGUGGAAUUCCACGUGUAGCAGUGAAAUGCGUAGAGAUGUGGAGGAACACCAGUGGCGAAGGCGACUACCUGGCCUGUUCUUGACGCUGAGGCGCGAAAGCUAGGGGAGCAAACGGG
RNAcentral lists this ribosomal RNA (253 nucleotides) under uncultured bacterium. Its description in RNAcentral is "partial 16S ribosomal RNA". It matches the Rfam family "Bacterial small subunit ribosomal RNA", at positions 524 to 776 of the family's 1533-position model. The record is from RNAcentral.